This 478-nucleotide ribosomal RNA is filed under the name uncultured Planctomycetales bacterium. Its description in RNAcentral is "bacterial SSU rRNA". It matches the Rfam family "Bacterial small subunit ribosomal RNA", at positions 365 to 832 of the family's 1533-position model. The record is from RNAcentral. Lineage: Bacteria; Pseudomonadati; Planctomycetota; Planctomycetia; Planctomycetales.
UUCGCAAUGCCCGAAAGGGUGACGAAGCGACGCCGCGUGUGGGAAGAAGGCCUUCGGGUUGUAAACCACUGUCGGGAGUUAAGAAAUGCAAGGAUAUGAAUAGUGUCUUUGCUUGACUAAGGCUCCGGAGGAAGCCACGGCUAACUCUGUGCCAGCAGCCGCGGUAAUACAGAGGCGGCAAGCGUUGUUCGGAAUUAUUGGGCGUAAAGAGCACGUAGGCGGCUAUGUAAGUCGAAGUUGUGAAAGCCUUCCGCUCAACGGGAGAACAGCAUCCGAUACUACAUGGCUUGAGUGCGGGAGGGGAGAGUGGAACUUCUGGUGGAGCGGUGAAAUGCGUAGAUAUCAGAAGGAACGCCGGCGGCGAAAGCGGCUCUCUGGCCCAUAACUGACGCUGAGUGUGCGAAAGCUUUGGAGCAAACGGGAUUAGAUACCCCGGUAGUCCUAGCCGUUAACGAUGGGCACUAAGUAGAGGGGUUUU